GACGAACGCUGGCGGCGUGCCUAAUACAUGCAAGUCGAGCGAAGGAUAGGUUACGAGCCUUCGGGCGAGGGACCUAUUACUUAGCGGCGAACGGGUGAGUAACGCGUGGGCAACCUGCCCCCCAGACUGGGAUAACAGCUCGAAAGGGCUGCUAAUACCGGAUGAGCCUCUGGUGCCGCAUGGUGCUGGAGGGAAAGCGGUUCAGCGCUGGGGGAUGGGCCCGCGUCCCAUUAGCUAGUUGGUGAGGUAACGGCUCACCAAGGCGACGAUGGGUAGCCGGCCUGAGAGGGUGGACGGCCACACUGGGACUGAGACACGGCCCAGACUCCUACGGGAGGCAGCAGUAGGGAAUAUUGCGCAAUGGGGGGAACCCUGACGCAGCGACGCCGCGUGAGCGAAGAAGGCCUUCGGGUCGUAAAGCUCUGUCCUAUGGGAAGAAGGAGACGGUACCAUAGGAGGAAGCCCCGGCUAACUACGUGCCAGCAGCCGCGGUAAUACGUAGGGGGCGAGCGUUGUCCGGAAUUACUGGGCGUAAAGGGUGCGUAGGCGGAUAUGCAAGUCCGAUGUGAAAGACUUCGGCUUAACCGAGGAGCUGCAUUGGAAACUGCAUAUCUAGAGUGCAGGAGAGGGAAGCGGAAUUCCUAGUGUAGCGGUGAAAUGCGUAGAUAUUAGGAGGAACACCAGUGGCGAAGGCGGCUUCCUGGACUGUAACUGACGCUGAGGCACGAAAGCUGGGGGAGCAAACAGGAUUAGAUACCCUGGUAGUCCCAGCCGUAAACGAUGGGUACUAGGUGUUGCUGUCGUUAAGGCGGCAGUGCCGGAGCUAACGCAAUAAGUACCCCGCCUGGGGAGUACGGCCGCAAGGCUGA
RNAcentral lists this ribosomal RNA (869 nucleotides) under uncultured bacterium. RNAcentral's name for it is "bacterial SSU rRNA". It matches the Rfam family "Bacterial small subunit ribosomal RNA", at positions 28 to 897 of the family's 1533-position model. The record is from RNAcentral.